CCCAGACUCCUACGGGAGGCAGCAGUGAGGAAUAUUGGUCAAUGGCCGAGAGGCUGAACCAGCCAAGUCGCGUGAGGGAAGAAUGUCCUAAGGAUUGUAAACCUCUUUUGUCGGGGAGCAAAAGACGCCACGCGUGGCGUUCCGAGAGUACCCGAAGAAAAAGCAUCGGCUAACUCCGUGCCAGCAGCCGCGGUAAUACGGAGGAUGCGAGCGUUAUCCGGAUUUAUUGGGUUUAAAGGGUGCGUAGGCGGAACAUUAAGUCAGCGGUCAAAUUGCGGGGCUCAACCCCGUACUGCCGUUGAAACUGCAUCCCUUGAGUGCGCGAGAAGUAUGCGGAAUGCGUGGUGUAGCGGUGAAAUGCAUAGAUAUCACGCAGAACUCCGAUUGCGAAGGCAGCAUACCGGCGCGCAACUGACGCUCAUGCACGAAAGCGUGGGUAUCGAACAGGAUUAGAUACCCCAGUAGG
RNAcentral lists this ribosomal RNA (466 nucleotides) under uncultured bacterium. RNAcentral describes it as "bacterial SSU rRNA". It matches the Rfam family "Bacterial small subunit ribosomal RNA", at positions 330 to 794 of the family's 1533-position model. The record is from RNAcentral.